GUGAAUCAUCGAAUUUUUGAACGCAAAUUGCACUCUCUUCGGAGAGUAUGCCUGUUUGAGGGUCAGUAUUAAUAAAAAUCGGAUUGUUGCUUCUUUGUGACGCUCCUGAGUGUGGGUCAUGUUAAUUUCCUUUAGUUUUUUAGAGGCUUUAAAUUGACUUUUUUUGUGCAUUGUAGAUGUACAUAAAUUCUUUUUUUUAUUCGUCUGUCUUAAUGCUCAAAUUCCUGUUAGAUGCGACCAUAUCG
This 245-nucleotide unclassified non-coding RNA is filed under the name Rhizophagus sp. (in: glomeromycetes). RNAcentral describes it as "partial contains 5.8S ribosomal RNA and internal transcribed spacer 2". The stretch from base 1 to 65 matches the Rfam family "5.8S ribosomal RNA", at positions 84 to 154 of the family's 154-position model. Lineage: Eukaryota; Fungi; Glomeromycota; Glomeromycetes; Glomerales; Glomeraceae. The record is from RNAcentral.